This 1071-nucleotide long non-coding RNA is filed under the name Vigna radiata. RNAcentral describes it as "long non-coding RNA (VRAD_LNC017203)". Lineage: Eukaryota; Viridiplantae; Streptophyta; Magnoliopsida; Fabales; Fabaceae. The record is from RNAcentral.
CCGCACAUUCAUAGAUAACGCUUAUUUAAAAAAAAGUGUUAUCUAUCAUUAAUUUUGUAGUAGUGAUUGGAGCUUUUCAAGGACUAAUGUGAUGACUAUGGCUUUGGAUGACCAAAUUGAGGGCUCUAAAAUAUUUCUAAUACAUUUCUGAAUUUUUCUAGGAUGUAAGUUUUCUGAAUUUUUAGAACAUAAACUAUUAUUUAACCUAUGGACUAUGACUUGAGAGGGACACUAGAUUGUUCAAGCCAUUUUCUCUUUGGUGGGAUGUAACUCUAAUUUACACAACUAUAAUACUAACCGUAAUUAGUACAGACUAGUUACAUAUAUUUCACUAUUGGACAAGAAAAGAGACAGCCAAAUUUCACUUAGUUGAAGNGAUUUUCUAGUUUAUGAAUUAUUCUAUGUUUGGCUUCUAAAAAGAUAAAGCAUCCUGCUAAUUAGAAUCAACUGCAUUGUGUAAGACAACACAAGACAAAUGAAAAUGUUUUGCUUUGACCACUUACGAGAGGAGAUAUUCUUGUUGACAUGUUCCAAAAAACUAGGCCAUGAAUAUUUCCCGGAAAUACAUCAAAGCCAAGCCUGAUAACAACAAACAUACAUGUAAUAAUUCUUCAAAAACAGAUAUUAUCUUGAGAUGCACAUACUAUUUUGACUGGUGUAACAGACCUUGAUCAUAGGCUGCCAAGGUGGGAGAGCCGACAAACCGCUAGAUACUCAACUGAACCAAAAAAGUUUAACUUAUUAGACUACCACUAUUGUCCUAACAUCAUUCUGACAUCCAAGCAACUGAAACAAUAGAAAAAAAAUCACGAUACAGAGGGAGGGAGACUGGUACAGAACAGAGGAGGCAGGGUAAAAUCUAAACAGAAAAGUUCUUCAGUCCUAUAUGUUAUGCCAAUAUCACAAGUAAUAACAAGAUAAAGGAUUUAGUCGACGCUACACUAAAAUAUGAUGCAACACAAAUUUACCCAACCACUAUUCAGGUCUCUACGUUAUAUUCACACGAUAAGAAAUAUUAUACAAAUUGAACCCAGACUAGUAAAGAUUGAGACGACAACAUUACUCACCCCA